This is a long non-coding RNA of Dermatophagoides farinae (American house dust mite), 1067 nucleotides long. RefSeq lists it as uncharacterized. Lineage: Eukaryota; Metazoa; Arthropoda; Arachnida; Sarcoptiformes; Pyroglyphidae. The record is from RefSeq and is a predicted model, not a curated record.
AUUUGUAUUAUAUCACUGUAUAUAUGUAGCAUUACUGGCUGCGCAUGCUCCUGCCUAUUUCUACUUUCCCCUAUUUCGACCGAGAAUGUCGGUGAGAGAGAACGAGCACGUUUUUCAGCCGAAAAUUCCGAGUCAGGAACACUAAUACACACAACUCGACAACAAAUAAAAAUCCGAUUUUCACAAACGAUCCCACGACAUAUUUAUUAUUAAAUAUUGUUCGUUUUGCAUUUAAUUGAUUCUCACUACAACAAUGGUUCAUCAUUAUUAUCAAUUUGUAGAAGCCAUAAAGGUGAUAGUCCAAUUGUAUCAGUAAAAAAGAUGAAUAGCUGUUCGCUAUUUUUAGGCAUUGGUAAUCUUUUGGUUUGGUUUCCAUUAUUACGUUAUUUUGCCUAUUUUCAAUCAUACAACAUUCUCUUAUUGUAACAUUGAAGAAAUCUUUUCCAAACGUUUUGCGGUUCUGUCUCUGUGCAUUUUUAGUUUAUGGAGGAUUUUGUUUUUGUGGUUGGGUCGUUUUGGGUCCUCAUCUCAAAUUUCGUACGCUUAGUUCAACAUUGGAAUGCUUGUUUUCACUUAUAAACGGUGAUGAUAUGUUUGCUACAUUUUUUUCCACUGCACAGUAAAAAAGUGCGCGAGUACUCGCGAUUUUUCGCCUGAUAGCCUGUUUACUCGCAAAAAUCGCGAUUACUCGCGGUAAUCGUGUGUAAACAAAAGUUUUCGAUUGUUUAAUUUGAUUUCGAUGUUUAACAUUUUCAUUUUUGUUUGGAUACGGAAUUAUUUCGAAUCAUAAACCAAUGGAUUAGAAUUAUAUCGAUAAAAAUGGUAAUUUGGGACAAAACGAUCCAACUAUUCCAAUUCAAAAAGGUCUUCAAUGCGAUGGAAAAAAGAUUUCACAUUUCAUUUUUCUUAUUACGAAGGAAAUCUUAUAAAUUCAAAUGGCACAUUUGUGCCGGAUAAUUAUGAAUUCCCGGUAUUUGAUGAUGACUUAAACGUAUUUUUGCUGAAUCCGAAUUCGAUUGCCAGCUUUAAGAUAUUGAAUUCAAUUAUUCUUUCUAUCAUCAGAUCAA